RNAcentral lists this ribosomal RNA (492 nucleotides) under uncultured bacterium. RNAcentral describes it as "partial 16S ribosomal RNA". It matches the Rfam family "Bacterial small subunit ribosomal RNA", at positions 29 to 507 of the family's 1533-position model. The record is from RNAcentral.
AGUGAACGCUGGCGGUAGGCCUAACACAUGCAAGUCGAACGGCAGCACAGUAAGAGCUUGCUCUUACGGGUGGCGAGUGGCGGACGGGUGAGGAAUACAUCGGAAUCUACUUUUUCGUGGGGGAUAACGUAGGGAAACUUACGCUAAUACCGCAUACGACCUACGGGUGAAAGCAGGGGAUCUUCGGACCUUGCGCGAUUGAAUGAGCCGAUGUCGGAUUAGCUAGUUGGCGGGGUAAAGGCCCACCAAGGCGACGAUCCGUAGCUGGUCUGAGAGGAUGAUCAGCCACACUGGAACUGAGACACGGUCCAGACUCCUACGGGAGGCAGCAGUGGGGAACAUUAGACAAUGGGCGCAAGCCUGAUCCAGCCAUACCGCGUGGGUGAAGAAGGCCUUCGGGUUGUAAAGCCCUUUUGUUGGGAAAGAAAAGCAGCAGGUUAAUACCCCGCUGUUCUGACGGUACCCAAAGAAUAAGCACCGGCUAACUUCGUG